CCAAAUCUUUGGGGAGGGUGCAGGGUGCUGGGAGUUGUAUGGGGGGGACAGUUUCACCAAGCUGGGAACAAAGAAAACAUAAGCAAAUAUCACCAACAGCUGAGGAAACAUCAUCAUCACAGCGUACCUUCUGUGGAGAUAAUUUAUUGCAUCUUGCUCAUUUUUUUGCCAUUCAAAAAAAAAAAAAAAAAAAAAUUCCCUUUUGGACCAAGUCUCUUUUUUGUUUUCAUUUCUCUGGAAUACAUCCCAGAUACAGAGUUCUUGAAUCAUCGGAGUCCACACCUUUACAUUACUAGCUUCAGCUGUCUGGAAAACCUUUUCAAGAAGAAAAGCAAAACGGGCCAUUCCAUUUUAUUGGAAAGUCAAGACUUGGAGACGUCAACAAGAGCCAUUCUUUAACCGCUGGAACUCUUACCUUUUGACUUUGACCUGGGAGGCAGUCACCAUGCCCUUUUUUACACUUCAUAAACCCUCACAAUGAUGAUGUUACUGCCAUACACUGUUACAAAUCCUAUGGUCUGAAGUACUGAGCUUUUGCCUUGUAUAUGACAACAUUUGCAAGGUACUUCUAUCCUAAACAACUACAGUGUAUUCAAUGUAUUUCAUUAGUAAAAACCAACCAACAAACAUGUAAACGUAUUCACCCUUAUAGUGAUACCUUUAUUUAGCCCCUCUAAAACUGACAUUUGUUUAGUCUGAGUGUAAAAACUGAAAACGUAGAAAACUGAAAUUGUGUAAACUGUGUGACUGUCUAUAGUUAUGUCAGUGAUCCAGACUGUAUAUGUGUAACCACUGUAAGAGGCAGCAGAAAUGCAACAUCGCUAAUGCUUUUGAUCUUAGCGCAGAAGGAACUCCGCUUUGAGAUAAGAGAGUGGGUUUUGGGAAGUGAAACUAAUCAUGUGUCUGUUGGUCAAAACUCUUCUCCACAACGUCAAAAUCUCUCAGUUUCAGCAAAGAUGCUUCAGAUAAAUAUAUUGGUUAGAUUUCCAGCUUAGCUCAUCUACCAUGAAGACUAGGGCCAAAAUCGAACAUUUCCCUGACCACUGAGAACUGCAACCUGGUAUAAAGCUAAAAACGAAGCAACAACUUAAAUAAAUGAGCAUCGCAUUGUGGACUGAGAGACAUGACAAUGGGGGUGAGGGUUUGAUGAUUGAUUGAGAGUGAAGGAAAUGAAAUGUCUCCUGAUCUCAAUGUACCAGAGAAAUACAACACUCAUGACAGAGACACGGGAGGUUUUAGCUACUCUCAGCUACGCGUCCCUAAAAGCACCAAGUAAUCUGAGCUAAUCACGAUCCAAUUUAAUUAAGCACUGUUUGAGAUUUCUUUGCUAGCAGCCAUUAAUUAAGAUUCAAAAAUCUUUUUUUUUCUUCUUGUCUUCGUCCUGUGUAUCUUGUUGUUCAAUGUUAUGAACAACACUGGCGUGGCCUAACAAGGGAUGUGGGUAGCAGAGAAAGGCCUCCGCCCUUUUCAACAAAAGCUUCUUUGUGUUUAUAAUAAUCUGUGAGGUCUGAAGUCCAUUUUUGUAAUUCUUUCUUGUUUAUUUUUCCACCAUGCAUUAGCAUAGCAUGUGUUUCAUGUGUUUAACAGUUCCUACAUUAUGAUGGUAGAACCUUGGAAAGUUUGGUUCUAACCACAGUGCUGUAUGCUUAAUAAAUAUGUGCUGACAUUAA
This is a long non-coding RNA of Ctenopharyngodon idella (grass carp), 1670 nucleotides long. RefSeq lists it as uncharacterized. The record is from RefSeq and is a predicted model, not a curated record. The transcript is spliced from 2 exons. NCBI's taxonomy places the organism in Eukaryota, Metazoa, Chordata, Actinopteri, Cypriniformes, Xenocyprididae.